Molecule: ribosomal RNA, 489 nt
Filed under: uncultured bacterium
Lineage: Bacteria
Description: bacterial SSU rRNA
Rfam family: Bacterial small subunit ribosomal RNA
Source: RNAcentral
UGAACGCUGGCGGCGUGCCUAACACAUGCAAGUCGAACGGGGUUACUGGCAGCGGAGAUUCGGUCAAAGCAGCCUUAGCCUAGUGGCGGACGGGUGAGUAACGCGUGGGGAACCUGCCCUGUACUGGGGGAUAACAGUGAGAAAUCACUGCUAAUACCGCAUAAGCGCACAGCAUCGCAUGAUGCGGUGUGAAAAACUGAGGUGGUACAGGAUGGCUCCGCGUUGGAUUAGCCAGUUGGCGGGGUAACGGCCCACCAAAGCGACGAUCCAUAGCCGGCCUGAGAGGGUGAACGGCCACAUUGGGACUGAGACACGGCCCAGACUCCUACGGGAGGCAGCAGUGGGGAAUAUUGCACAAUGGGGGAAACCCUGAUGCAGCGAACCGCCGCGUGAAGGAAGAAGUAUCUCGGUAUGUAAACUUCUAUCAGCAGGGAAGAUGAUGACGGUACCUGACUAAGAAGCCCCGGCUAACUACGUGCCAGCAGCUGC